CGUGUGGUGUCCGGCGUUAGGGCGGGAUGGCGACACGGCCUUAAUAGAGGU
Regulatory RNA element from Moellerella wisconsensis ATCC 35017, 51 nucleotides. It matches the Rfam family "L31-Gammaproteobacteria ribosomal protein leader". The record is from Rfam. NCBI's taxonomy places the organism in Bacteria, Pseudomonadati, Pseudomonadota, Gammaproteobacteria, Enterobacterales, Morganellaceae.